RNAcentral lists this microRNA precursor (56 nucleotides) under Callithrix jacchus (white-tufted-ear marmoset). RNAcentral's name for it is "mir-1302 microRNA precursor family". It matches the Rfam family "mir-1302 microRNA precursor family". The record is from Rfam by way of RNAcentral. Lineage: Eukaryota; Metazoa; Chordata; Mammalia; Primates; Cebidae.
UUUUUAGUAUAAGUAUAUCCCAUGCAAUAUUUAGGACAUACUUCUUUAUACUAAAU